CAAUCUCAGUUCAGACUGCAGGCUGCAACUCGCCUGCACGAAGUCGGAAUUGCUAGUAAUCGUAGGUCAGCAUACUACGGUGAAUACGUUCCCGGGCCUUGUACACACCGCCCGUCACACCAUGGGAGUUUGUAACGCCCAAAGUUGGUGGCCUAACCUUUAUGGAGGGAGCCGCCUAAGGCGGGACAGAUGACUGGGGUGAAGUCGUAACAAGGUAAC
This 219-nucleotide ribosomal RNA is filed under the name uncultured bacterium. Its description in RNAcentral is "partial 16S ribosomal RNA". It matches the Rfam family "Bacterial small subunit ribosomal RNA", at positions 1283 to 1500 of the family's 1533-position model. The record is from RNAcentral.